RNAcentral lists this ribosomal RNA (421 nucleotides) under uncultured bacterium. Its description in RNAcentral is "bacterial SSU rRNA". It matches the Rfam family "Bacterial small subunit ribosomal RNA", at positions 355 to 774 of the family's 1533-position model. The record is from RNAcentral.
UAAGGAAUAUUGGUCAAUGGACGCAAGUCUGAACCAGCCAUGCCGCGUGAAGGAUGAAGGUCCUCUGGAUUGUAAACUUCUUUUAUCUGGGACGAAAACGGGAUUUUUAUCUCAAUUGACGGUACCAGAGGAAUAAGCACCGGCUAACUCCGUGCCAGCAGCCGCGGUAAUACGGAGGGUGCGAGCGUUAUCCGGAUUUACUGGGUGUAAAGGGUGCUCAGGCGGAUUUGUAAGUCAGAGGUGAAAUCUUACAGCUUAACUGUGAAACUGCCUUUGAUACUGCAAGCCUAGAGUAUGGAAGAGNGUGAUGGAAUAUCUGGUGUAGCAGUGAAAUGCGUAGAUAUCAGAUAGAACACCAAUGGCGAAGGCAGUCACUUGGUCCAUUACUGACGCUAAAGCACGAAAGCGUGGGUAGCAAACA